The sequence is a small nucleolar RNA, 39 nucleotides long. Its record names the gene SNORD115. It matches the Rfam family "Small nucleolar RNA SNORD115". Rfam says of the family: HBII-52 is a member of the C/D class of snoRNAs, which contain the C (UGAUGA) and D (CUGA) box motifs. HBII-52 is encoded in a tandemly repeated array with another C/D snoRNA, HBII-85, in the Prader-Willi syndrome (PWS) region of chromosome 15. The record is from Ensembl.
AAAGAGAUGAUGACCUAAAAAUCAUGUUCAAUAGGAUUA